RNAcentral lists this long non-coding RNA (23333 nucleotides) under Setaria viridis. RNAcentral describes it as "long non-coding RNA (SVIR_LNC003883)". Lineage: Eukaryota; Viridiplantae; Streptophyta; Magnoliopsida; Poales; Poaceae. The record is from RNAcentral.
UUUUUUUUUUGUUCAACCCUGUCCUCGAGCAAAGCCUUCAUCGGCGACCUGCAGCACAAUGCUCACGGGCACAAUGCCGUCGUUUGGAAGAUUAUUAUUAUGCUCGUGCAGGCCUUGGAUUUGGAGUCCUUUAUAUUACCUAAGAAAAUGGGUCGUUUCAUUAAAUUUUCGUGGCAACUUGGAACAAAAUAGUGCAUAGUAGAGUCCUGCUCCUCUAGUGGUACUUGUAUGCAGUCAGCUGCCUGACACUCUGACCGAUUGAUGCCAUGCCCUGAUUAAACUACACACUCUUUGCUGCAUCAUAGUUAAAUCGAAUGUGCCAGAUUUCACUUUGCUUAGGGCUUAAGAGUUUGUAUUGACUUUGGUGAACCGUUGAGUGCCAUCUUCUUUAUUACUAGGGCCACGAAUAGUUUACAAAAUAAUAAUGGUUCACCGCAUCAGUAGUUCAGGACCUAAUGCUGGAGUGGACAUAUUUUCAAGAGCAUCUUUUUCUUUUUCAAUUUUCAUUUACAGCUUCCGGUUCAGACUGAAUUGAAGAUUGAAGUGCAUUGGAGGCUCUGACCAUUCCCUGUAUACAUGUUCUUGCAGCUUAGCGGCAGCCUUUUCCUAUGGAGUCGCAUCCAUGGCAAUGGUUUUCGUGAACAAAGCAGUUCUUAUGCAGUAUGUUCACUCCAUGACCCUGCUCACUUUACAGGUAUUGCUAAACAUCAUGGCCUAGACAAAGUUAUCUGGUUUUUGUGAACAAAGCAGUUCUUAAGCCUGGUUGUUUUGUUCAAUUUCUCCAUUACUUCUGCAGCAAAUAGCCACAGCGCUACUGAUACAUUUUGGUCAAGUUCUAGGAAUGUCUAGACGAAAAGACUUCAGCUUGAUAACUGCAAAGAAGCUUCUUCCGAUAUCAAUAUUUUACAAUGCAAAUGUGGGAUUUGCUCUAGCAAGCUUGAAAGGGGUUAACAUCCCUAUGUAUAUUGCAAUCAAGAGAAUCACUCCCCUCGCCGUGUUGGUGAGUGGGUGUGUACGGGGAAAGGGAAAGCCACCAACACAGGUGAGGAUGCAUUUCUGGAGACUUCUUUGGGCUUCCUUUUACAUAGAGUACAAUGGUUAUUACAGCUGUAGGCCCCUCACUGUCUCAAUUUGAUGUUUUGGAAAUGAAUCGAGCUCCCCAUCUCAACCGGUGUCAGUCAUUAAUUUAGCUAACUGUUGAUAUAGUUAAUCAAAAGUUUACGAGAAUUCUAACCUUGUGGGUAGCAUGAAUCACACUUUUCAAACUUUCCUGCCAAUAGAUCUUAAUAUUCGUGGUUAGCAUCAGUGCUUGUCUUCUUGCAACCAUGUCUUUCUAGUAAAAUUGUGCGAGCACUUCAGGUAAAUAUUGUAAAAGGCAUUGGCAUUGUGACUGAAAUUCUUGGUCUGCUGUACGUUUUUGUUUUGAAAUUUCAUCAUGUGCAAAUUCAAGAUCAAAAUUUAGGGAAAUGCAUUGUUUCUCUCCUGGGAAUGAGCAACUCUUUUCUAAUUUUUGCCACAUCCUGACCAAUUCGAAACUAUUUUAGGUCACUCUUUCAGUUAUCUGCACCGCUGCAGGUGUCCUUAUUGCAGCACUUGGAGAUUUUUCCUUUGACCUAUAUGGAUACUGCAUGGCUCUAACAUCAGUCUUCUUCCAGGUUACGUUAUUCCUACUCUUGUUUUGUUCUCGGAUAAUUUAUCCUAGAUCUUUCUUUCUUUUACUUGUUUGAGGCAAGGCUCAGCUGACAUCUGCAUGUGUAUGCACUAUGCAGACAAUGUAUUUGGUUCUGGUGGAGAAAUCAGGUGCUGAGGAUGGUCUUUCCUCAGUGGAUUUGAUGUUCUACAACAGUAUAUUGUCACUUCCAUUUCUGUUUUUCCUCAUUAUAGCAACAGGAGAAUUCCCCCAUUCUCUUACAGUAUUAUCUGCAAAGGUCAGUAUUCUGCUCGUGCUCAGCAUGAUCAAAAUUUGAUUAGUACAUCUAUAAGGUAGCAAUCUCUUUGAGUUCCCUUGUUUCACCCGUUUAACUCACAAUGAUGACUGGCGAUAGUUCUCCUGAGUUUUUUGAGCAAAUAGUCUCACACUUCGAUGUUGUUCAUUAACACAAUACUAGUAUUGUUAAGUUUCCGCAUCAAAUUAUAUGCUAGAUGCCUCUGUCCUAACUUGGAUUAUCCGGUGAACUGCAGACAGCCUCUCCGUCAUUCAGUGUUAUUCUUGUCAUUUCACUGGUGAUGGGAAUCGUUCUCAAUUUCACCAUGUUUUGGUGCACAAUCGUGAAUUCGGCCCUGACAACAACAAUAGUAGGAGUCCUCAAGGGUGUUGGUUCUACAGUAAGUUUACACCAUUCUUUCUUAGCAGUUUAAUCUGUUGCUUGACCAACCUUUGAUGCAUUUUAGCCCAAGUUUUAGAUGCAAGACAUCUUACACCUUGUUUUUCCCCCCACUCUUGGACGUUCAGACCCUGGGUUUUAUUCUGUUGGGAGGUGUGGAAGUACAUGCUCUUAAUGUUACUGGACUGGUGAUCAACACAUUGGGAGGUGUCUGGUACUCCUACGCCAAGUACAGGCAGAAGAAGAAAACACCACGAAAGCUGGUACCUGAUGUAGAAUCGCAUGCCCACAAGUAGCGCUAGAUCCAGUAACUUUAUAAUUUGUACCUCAUUUUUUGAGCUGACAAUGACUGGAACACCACAUUAAAGUCCAAUUUUCUGGGCUCAGUUCACCACCACUCCGCCAGCAAAUAGUUGGUGCAAGGGAAGAGAUAAGAUAGUUUAUUUGUAGGGUAAAGUACAUUUUUGUCCCUGAAGAAAGUCUGAUUUUGGACCUCCAACUCUAAAACCAUAUAAAAGGUACCCUCGAACUAUGAAUACGGUGCAUUUUUUACUCUUUGAGCUAGUUUCGGUUGGUGGUUUUCACUUUGGGUCUCAAGGCUAAACCCGCUCCACCGUCGAAAUUACACUUUGGGAGGAUCGAUCCUGCCGUUGAAAGGAAAAUCGAUAGUCGCCCUGCCGUACUUGAUGAGUUGAUGGGUUAUCGUUAAACUUCCGUGUGAUUUGACAGUGCAUAUACAUCUACCGAUCAUCAAACGCGUCCAAGGCCAUGUUUAGGCCUUGUUUACUUCCCACUUUGGGAGUGAUAAAAUUGGCAUUUUGCCAUAAAUGCGCAACUGUAGCGUUUCGUUUGUAUUUGUGAAUUAUUGUCCAAAUAUUGACUAAUUAGGCUCAAAAGAUUCGUCUCGCAAAGUACAACAAAACUGUGCAAUUAGUUUUUGAUUUCGUCUACAUUUAGUACUCCAUGCAUGUACCGCAAGUUUGAUGUGAUGGGGAAUCUUCUUUUUGCAUAGUAUCAAAGUUGGGAGUUUGGAGGGAACAAGGGCUUAGUUACCCCCAACUCCCAACUUUGACACUAUGCAAAAAGAAGAUUCCCCAUCACAUCAAACUUGCGGUACAUGUAUGGAGUACUAAAUGUAAACGAAAUUAAAAACUAAUUGCACAGUUUUGUUGUACUUUACGAGACGAAUCUUUUGAGCCUAAUUAGUCAAUAUUUGGACAAUAAUUCACAAAUACAAACGAAACGCUACAGUGUGCUACGGUGCUAGCACAGUAAUUUUGCAUCUCCCAAUUUGACCAACUAAACAAGGCCCAAGAUUCAGGUCCCGGCUUCGUUGGACCUGUCAAACUUACAAUAAAGAAAAUUCAGAGUCGUUUGCUCUAAUUUCAAUGUUUCACCGCAUCGCUUACUUUGCAUAGAACUAGCAGACACCCCCAAACGUGUUGAUCACCAAUCCAUAAAAUUAAGAGUGUACACUUCCAAACACCUCCCAGUUGAAAGGUGGAUGGAAUGAUAGGGAGGGCACAAUUUCAUACUGGGAAAGCAUCCCAAUAAAUGUUUCCCAAUAAGUAGUUAAUAAGGAUAUCCCAAUAUCACUUUCAUUGUUAUUGAGAGAGUUGCGGUGAAUUAUUGGGUUGUCCCAAUAAUUAUUAGAAAAAGGGAAAGGUAAAGGGAGACUGCUGGAGUACUAUUUUCUUAUCAACUCUCUCAAUAUAGUAGUUGGAUUGGGAAAUGGGAGUCCGCUGAAGAUGCUCUUAAGAGGGUAGGUUGGAGGACGGAACAAGACCACAAAUAAUGAACGGGAACGGAUACCGGAACGCUUCCUUCCACAAGUUCUGUAUAUGGAUCAGCUAGAGAUUAUAAAAGAGAUUAUAAAAGCUGUUAGAAAAAACUCUAUCUGAUCAAAAUAUGAUAAAACACUUGACAUCAAUGACUCUCGGUUUUAUUAGACAACCACUUGACAUCAAUGACUCUGGGUUUUAUUAGACAACCACUUGACACCACUUAAGCUAAGUCACCAUGACUUAGCUUAAGUCACGGGCGCUAGCGGAUAGGCGUUUUCUUAACAUAAAGGUAGUACAUGGAUCACGCAAUGCAAAUACUCCGUAAACAAGCAAAUUUCAUCACGUGCUCAACGUCUUCUUUGAUGCCCAUGUUCCAUCAAUUGAUCUUGAGGCUUUCCAGGAAGGUGCUGCCACUGGCCCGGCCGGCCAAGAGAAACCGGGUGUAGUCCCUCAGAGUGCUCCCCUUGUACAUGGUCGGAUGGCGGUCGUCCACCAGCUCCUUGGCCACCUCCACGCUCUCAUCCAUGGCCCAGUUCGUCAGGCUGGUUAUAGACACCCUGCUCGUGUCAGUGUCACCCCGUCCCCAGAGCACCCUGUGCACCGCCGCCCUGUACCGCCCGUUGCUCAUGGCCUCGAGGCAAUCCCCGACGUGCACGGUCAGGGACGGCGGCGGCGGCGGCGAUCCGCCUUCGGCUCCGCGCCGGUGCGGCGCCGCGAGCCACGCCCCGGUCACCCGGUCGAGCUCCUCGAGGCCCUCGUGGGUCGAUAGAAUGACGCUGAUGAAGGUGUAGUCCGUGUGGUCGCCGCAGCGGAGGUCGUCGCUGCCCGAGCUCACAGGCGGCGGGGGGUACAAGCUCAAGAGCAUCAUCUCGAAGCCAUUCUCCAUCUGGCUGCUCAGGUAGUAGCGCCCGAGCCCGAGGCUCUCGGUGAUGGCUUCCAUUAGGUCUGACACCAGCUUAUUCCUCACUUCCCUUGCAUACUUGCCCAUCUUCUCCCUGAAAAAGAAAAAGUUUGCAAAUUUUAAAGUGGUUACUGAAUUGUCGAUUGCCAGUGACGAUGAGGGCUGCGAUGCGAUCGAGGCAGGCAAGAGCAGACCUGUACUGCGAUGGCUUUGCUGGCCAGUUGCCGAUCCACUUCUCCAACGGAUAGGAGUACUGCUUCAGGACAUGUCGAUGGACCUUGACCUCGCCACCGUCGAGUGCAGAGGACGAGGUGACGUAGCGGACAGGCAGGGUGAUGUCGUCGGACGCCAGGGCCGACCUGUCAUCCAUUGGCAGGCUGAAGAACGCGGCGGCGGCGGCGAGAGCGUUGCGGAGGAUGUCCGUGCUGAUCCCAUGGUUAAUGACCUGACAGGGACAGACACACACGGAUAUAUUGGAGCAGAUCGAUCAGAGGCUAAUUAAUCAUUCGAUCGAGGGAGAUGAGCAUGAAGCCAUGAACGCACCUGGAAGAACCCCUUCUCCUGGCACACCCUGCCGACAUCCUGCACUGCAGCUGACCUCUCCGACGAGGUGCCCCGCAGCUUGCUCAAGUCUAUGAUUGGCACAUCACCGGCGGAGUCCAUGGAGAACCGACGGACCUGAUGAUCUGUUCAGAGAACAUUUUCUUUUAUGGAAACCGGAGGGGCGCACCCUACUGGUAAUAUAUUGCAAAUAAAGGGUGUGUUUGAUUUGGGUCGAAUCGGGUUGGAACGGGUUUGACCCCAUCGAUCCGCGUUUGGUUGAAAAUGUAUCUGAGUUGGGUCAGAUCCAGGAGGGAAUACUACUCCUAGAUGUGGGUUGAAUGCAUCCAUCCAAAACGAGCGGACACACUCGACCCGCAUGCACGUCGUUGGCGUCCGUUUCACGUGUGAGGAGAGAGAGGCGCAGAGGAGCAUGAGGAAGAGGCCGGCGUAGAGGAGCGGCCGCCAGCGUGGGGGAGGGAGGGAGGAGCGGCAGCCACGUGGGGGAGGGAGGGAGGAGCGGCGGCGUGGGGGAGGGAGGAGGGCGGCCGGCGCGGGGAGAGGGAGGGAGGCUAGAGGAAGAAGAUAAGGUGAGUUAAAAAAAGAAAAGGAUGGCAUAUGGGUCCCGCAGCUGACAGGUGGGAUCCAUUGCUAAUGGUGUUAAAAUGGCAUCCAUCCCAUCCCUCACAACACCUCCAACCAAACAAAAGACUGGGAUGAACACAUCCCUCUCAUCCAAAUACAAGAUGGGUUGAACCCAAUCCAUAAAAGUGGGAUGAACCCAACCCAUUCCACUUGGUUCCAAAACCAAACACAUGCAAAAAGAGUUAACAGGAAUAAAAAAAGAACCACCACAAAAGAAGGAGAAAAGAAAAAAGAAACUAGGCAGGAAGGGAGAGAGCCAAGAAGAAAAGAUUACAGAGAGUUUAGCUAUAGCUCCAUUGAAUUCAAAAGGCUGGGGUUUGCUCUUAAAAGCACAAGAGAGAACUUCGAGAUAAAUUUCCUCCUACAAGAUGCAACAGUAGGGUCGAUUUAUUGAAGAUCAAGUCGUUUCUUAUUGUUCAUAUACUCCAGGCUAUUAGGAUGAUUAUUUCCACGAAGAAAGGGAUUAGGGACUCCCAGUUACUGCCUGAUCCUUCUGAUUAUCUGCAGAAUUGGUCUUGUAGAUAUUACUAUCACGCCAAUAGAAGUCCAGCAUGCAUUAGCAAAAUUACAGCGAAUAAACAGGUGUGCUGCAAUUUCUGGUCUUUGCAAGAUAUAGAGAUCACACGUGUAUGAAUCCAAAACUGAUGAGAACAUCAGCUACUUGAAUACAACCACGUUAGUAACUUUUGAUUCACAAGUGAAACAAUUCUUUACCAUGAUUGUAUUUGAUACAUUUGAUGAAUUGAUAUUGCAUCAUGAUGUGUGUUCGUUGUCAAUUUCAGAAAUAUAUACGUGGAUCAAAAAUAGUGUUAAACACACAUGGAAGGCAUGGAGGACCAAAGAAGUAGAUUGGGGGCUAAGUCCAAGUAUUCCCAACGUUCUUCACUAGACCACCACGUCACUUUUGGCCCAAGGAAAGAAAGAGAUCCAAUCCAACACGUUUUGGGGCUGGAUUCAGACCGCAGCUCUGUUACCAGGCUCGCGUCUCUAGCACGUUCUAGCCUAGGACCAGCACAAUAACAUCAUUGAGCAUUUGUUCAAUUCGCUUACAACUAACGUGGUUUUAGUACUUCCUUGUAAAUUCCUUUCAGCCCACCUACAGCUCCACAUAUUCGACUACAGCUUGAUAGGGAUUGUUGCUUUGGUACCAAUACACUUUCUUCCGCGGUUGCAGACUUGUUGGUUGCCGUCACCUCCUGUUUGGCUUGGUAAGAACUUGUAAGGGCUUGUUUUAACAAGUUGAGUUUGAGAGAAUUACAACCGACAUAUCCUAGUAGUUGACAGGAGGAUACAUAUUAUUUUUGUGUUUCUUAUUUUCUACUAAUCAUGGCAGGUGAUACGGAGAUUUUUGAGCUAUUGAAACUAGACCCUCAUAUUCAAAAUGUUAUUCAACACUUGCCGUUAUACGAUGGUUUGAUCCUAAAACUUACAUUGAUUGGGAGCUAAAAGUAGAUAAUGAAUUUGAUGAGCAUGACUUGUCCGAGAAACAAAAGAUUUAUAUUGCCUCUAAUGUUUUGACUGGAUAUGCUUUGCUAGAAUGGAAACACAUUUGUAGGAAUAACAAAGUUCUAGAAUCUUGGGAAGACUUCAAAUUUCUUUUUAGAGAUGCAUUCAUUCCGGAAUAUUAUGCUAAUUAUUUGCUUGCAAAAUUAGUCAACUUGAGGCAAGAUAGUAGGACUGUGAAAGAAUACUUCUAUAAUUUUAAAAUUUGUAUCAUGUUUGGUGGAUUAGAUGAGUGAAUGGAAGAUGUUAUGAGUAGGUUCAUGAGAGGGCACAAUUUUGAAAUUCAAACCUUAUUAAUUAGCAAUUAUUAUAGCCAUAUUGGUCAAUUAUUUUGUCUUGCUCCCAAUGCUGAAAAGAAGAUUCUAGUAUUUGUGAAUAAUUGCAAGAAUGAUGUGACUCAUAAUAUCCAAAAUUUAUCCACUCUGCAUGCUAAUGAAGAGCAACAAAUAGUGAAACCCACUGUCAAUUUUCCUUUGUCACAAAAUGAAUUACUUGCUGUUCCUUAUGAUGAAGAGGACUUGUGUGCUGAUGAUUCUUUGACUCCUAUGCCACAAGUACUGAAUAAGUGUGAUAAUUUUAGUUUGGAACCAUAUAAAUGUGCUGAAGAUAAGCAUUUUCAUUCUAUUACUUAUGCACAAGAUGAACUGAAUUUGCUAUCCUCUUUAAAUACUUUAGGUUAUAUUGAAUUUGAUAUUCUGUGUAAUCUAAAUUGCCUAAAAGAGAAACUUAAAUUUGAUUCUGGUUUGCCAAGUUUUAAUCAUUGUUCGCUUUAUCCAAUUGGCAAAUACAACAACAAAGGAGAAUAUUUGGUGCAUAAAGUUUAUAUUUGCUCUAAUCUGAAAUAUCCUUUUGGGCAACAAUAUCAUGAUCAAAUAAGGGUUGCACUAACACUAAUAAUGUCUUGCAAAGUUUUUCUAGUUUUUCCCAUAUGCAAUAGGGUAAGGCUAAAGAAGGGGAGCAUUACUGGUUGUGGCCAUGCAGCAUUGUCAUCGCUCUAUGCACCAACAUCAAAGCAAGCACCUUAGAAUGCCAUUGGAGCCAAGAAGGGGAGAAUGAUGAGGAGAUCACCUACUCGGAUACAACCAUAUUAGUAACUUUUGAUUCACAGGUGAAACAAUUCUUUACCACGAUUGUAUUUGAUACAUUUGAUGAAUUGAUAUUGCACCAUGACAUGUGUUCGUUGUCAAUUUCAGAAAUACAUACGUGGAUUAAAAAUAGUAUUAAACACACAUGGAAGGUAUGGAGGACCAAAGAAGUAGAUUGGGGGGCCAAGUCCAAAUAUUCCCAACGUUCUCCAGUAGGCCACCACGUCACUUUUGGCCCAAGGAAAGAAAGAGAUCCAAUCCAACACAUUUUGGGGCUAGAGUCGGACUGCAGCUCUAUGCCAACUUGCAACAGCUGUCACGACCUCAUCCGAACUCCGUUUUGGGUGUUCAAGUACUCCUUGGAAUACUUAUGAAGUCUAUUUUCAUAUGGAUCUAGACUCAUAUCCAUAUCUUUUUUGAUGUGGCUGCAAUGACCGAAUUACCACCGAGAGGUUUUCUAUCCAAAAGUGUUGUGUCACCUUAUUUUGGCCCAAUGGGCCGUGUAUCAAGUUGGAUCCAUUAGGGACAUGUCCUAGGGUUGGAGCAUGACCCCAACACCCCCCUGGUCAUCCUCCUAGGUGUUAAUAAGGAUUAGAGCUGCUACAAACAGAUCGGGUUUUAUUUUGUUGAAAGUUUAGCCAUUACUACUUCCUUGUAGACGCGUGUUCGACUAGACCAUUUGUUCUACUUGAUUUAGAACCCCAACUUUAUGAGUUCAUAUUGGUUUUUAUCUCCAUAUUUGCAAUUGAGUUGCUUGUUCUACUUGUUCUUGCUUGUUCCUCGAUUGCUUGCAGGAAUUACCCUAGUGGUUUGGUUGAUCGUGCUCCACAAGAUCGCGGCGACCAUUGGAGGUGGUGUAUCGGUUGCUAAGGCGCAGCACCCUUGGAUAGUUGUAGUCGGGCCGUGAAUGUCGUCUCCAUCCCCAAAUCGAGUUAUCCCAUGCCUCUCAUCGAAAGAUCGGGAAUAAACUCUAGCGGGUUCAUAUCAAAAACCAUUAUUUUUCUUCAACUAAAUCCCUGGUGCUCACUCGAUCCUUGAUGAGUAACCAAAAAAAUACCUUGUGUUUCAUCUGACAUCGAGAUUUCCAAAGCCAGCGAAAUGCUAGGUGAGUGCUUCUGUGCCCAAUUAUUGCUUUGUGGGCUUUUGCUGCUGAAAAUAACUCAUUUCCCCAACUAUAGCUCCAUAAAUCUUUGCCUUCUUGAAGCUGAUUGUUUUCCAGAAUAAGGGAGAGAUCCUGAAAUUGCUUGUAUGCUUGGAUGGAUAAUGGGAGGUGGAAAUUUAAUGAUGGAACCAGCUACACUAGCGCUUGUUUGAGGGUGAUGUUGAUGUUUUUGGCAAAUGAAAAAGUUCAGGGUAUUGUAGCUUCAGGAUUUGAUCGUUCCAAGUGUCCGGCCAAAAAAGCACCGAGGCACCCUCCUUGAUUGAAACUCUAGCAAUACUUUUGAAAGUGUCUAGCAGUUUGACAAUAUCUUUCCACCAAAAGGAUCCCUUCCUUUGCUGACUAGGCAGCUUGCCAUUUGAGUAAUAGUUAUCCCAGACAAGGUGAAUCCAAGAAAUGUUUGUUCUAUUAUAAAACUUGUGGAGGAAUUUCAGAAGCAAUGAGUCAUUGUGAGCUUCAAAAUUGAUAACCCAAGACCACCUUCACAUUUGGGUAAGCAGACCAUUGUCCAUGCAACUUUAGGUGGUUGUUUAUUAUUAAGAUAAGAUCCUCUCCAUAGACAGUGUUUUCUGUACUUAUCCAAUUGUUUGAUCACACCCUUAUAGAGCUUCAAGGUGCAUGAGAAGAAUACUGUAGAUGAAGAAAAGACUGAGUUUACCAUUUCUAGCUUGCCUCCUUGGGUCAGGAAGGAGGAGGUACAUAAUAGUCUUCUCUCAAUUCUUUGGACAAGGGGAAGGAAGUCUUCAAUUUUUGGCUUGGUAGUACCCAGUGGAAGGCUAAGGUUGGUGAAAGGCAGGCUGCCUUUCUGGCAGUUAAAAGUGUUAGCCAAUGACUCAAAUAUGCUAUCAGAGACAUUGAUGGGCACUAUUAGAGUUUUAUUAUAAUUGACCCUAAGACCAGUAGACUCAGCAAAAGUACUCAAAAUAUCCUUUAGUACCAGCAGUUGUGUGGGGCAAGCUUCCAUGAUUACUAGAGUGUCAUCAGCAUAUUGCACAAUAGGGAAGUCACUACUAGCUGUUUCAGGGAGAGGUAAUUUGAGUGCUCCUUGGUCUUUUGCUUUGUUAACCAUAGAUUGCAGCAGGUCUGCAGCUAGGACAAAUAAGAGUGGGGAAAGAGGAUCUCCUUGCCUAACUCCUCUUCUAUAGUGAAAGACUUUUCAAGGUACUCUAUUUAGAAGUACAGCAGAAGUAUCAAAUCCAAGGAUAUCUCUAAUCGAGCCAAUCCACUUGUUAGUGAAGCCUUUGUGCCUUAGGAUUUCCAAGAUAGCCUGUUGUUCCACCUUGUCAGAGGCCAUUUCGAAGUCUAACUUCAAGAUGACCAUUUCCUUCUUUGAAGAUUUACUUAAGUGAAGAUACUCAAAAGCUCAAGCUAAGUAAUCAUGUAUUGUCCUUGUUCUGAUAAAACCAUAUUGGUUAGCAUGUGUUAGGGAGAUGAUGACCUAUUGCAGUCUUUCUGAUAGCAAUUUGGUGAUGAGCUUGAUUGAGGAGUUUAACAAUGAAAUUGGUCAAAAAUCUCCACAACAAGAGGACUGUCCUUUUUUAGCACAAGAGUGAUGUAUGAGCCAUUUGAUGCUUCUUAGACAGACUAUGCCAUCAUGAAAUCCUUCACAGAGCUCAUAGAAUUCCUGAGAGAUCAAAGGCCAGCAUUUUUUCAAGAAUUCACCAUUAAAACCGUCUAGUCCUGUAGACUUAUUAUUUGGUAUAUCAGCAAUGAUUUUAUCAAUUUUCUCCUUAGUGAAAGGGCUUUCCAGCCAUUCUAGAUUUUCUCCAUGUGUCAGCAGGGAGGGAAUAUCAAUGUACAUAUGAGAGUACUCUGAUGUUCCUAACCUUUCCUUGAAUGUGUAGUAGCAGUAAUUUGAGUCAUAGUGGCAAAAUGAUUCAAUGCGUUGACUGUACCCAACUCUGCUCAAUUCUAUUCUUGGGUUAAGAUGCUAUUACACAAAAAUAAGCUCGACCUGCUAAAGAUGAUGCAGUAGCUGAUCGAGAGCGACUUCGGGAAGUAACUUUUCGCGAAGCUGCAGGAUGGAACUUCUGAAGCUUUUCUUGGUUAAGAAACAGUUGUGUUUGCUGCUUUUGUGGCUGAUACUUCUGUGUCUGGUCGGUUGAACGCUCCAGAUGUGAACUCAUCUAGCUUCUUUUCUGAUUAAUUUAAUCCCAUAUCAAAAAUUGAUGAUGGAGGAGCACAACAUAUAGGUGGGCAGCUUUUACCCAUCAUGCUAGUCUUUUGGGUUGAGUUAGGCCCAUAACCUUGUUGUUAUGGGCUUCGGUGGGCGCGGGCUUGUGGUAUAGCGGGUGGGGCCGGAAUCCGAUGCGCACUCUAACAAGUGGUAUCAAAGCUAAGGUCGGGAAACCUGAAAUAUCUCUGGAGUCACAUGGUAAUAGGGGAGGAGGAGCCCGUGAACCUCUUCAGAUAGUUACAUGGGAUUGUUGUGACUGGAGAUGGACUCGGAAUCAACGAUUCAAUCGGUGGUGUCAGACACUCUGACCGGAGAGUUACAUGGGAUUGUUGGACACGUCGAUCGAGUGCACAUGGCAGAGCUAGCAACAGAGCGCGGACAGCAAAGUCGAUAAGAAUAUGGCGUAUAUGGCGUCGCGGGUGGCGAGGCGAGUGCAGUGGCGUGGGCACGGGAAGGCGUGGUGCAGCAGGAGUCCUGGUGGCCUUACGUGCAUAUGGAUGAAAAAGGCUUGUGGCCUCGUAGGCACGUAGGCAGGAAACUAAACAAGAUUCAAGGAAAAAAAUUAUCUCAUCGUUGCGUGAUUAGCGCUGGUGCAAGUAGUAUUCUAUUUUAUUUUGGGCACGGUUUGGAAGUGCAAGGAAAUAAAAUAUGAGAGGGACAGGGACGGACGAGUCCAUCAUGGACUGUACUUGUUCCAGGCAUCAAGUUGUGCAGGAGUCAGGACUCAGGACUGUUGCAGCUCAGGUUGGACUUGGAUACGACGUGGUGGGCACGCAAGCAAAGUAACCGUGUGCGACUCGGAAAAGAAGCCAGGGGUUGGCGCUAGCUAUCGUGCACAUAAAAGGCAGGCACAGGGGAGCUUCGGAGGCAGACAAGCAAAGCAAGGCAAUCUUGCAGAAACACAGGCAGGGCUACACGGCCUGGCAAAGGCGUUUCAGCUAGGGGAUUGCGCUUGGAAAUUCGGUCAGCUAGCAGGUUUUCCGUACUGGGCGAUUGCGAGGAUUGUGCGGUGCGCAUAUUGAUCGGCCAACGCUGGUGAAGCAGUCUGGCGAACGACGGCGGGAUUGAGGAGCAGGACGAUCUGCUCGGUGACGCGGUCAAUAAGUCGGACGGAUCGGCGGUGUCACUGGCAACAAAGGGUCGGUCAAACCGCGUGUCAGCAGGAUGUCGACACUAGGCAGAUUUGAGGUGGUGAAGCUCGAUGGCUCUGGCAACUUCGAAUUAUGACAAAUAAGGGUCAGAUUUGAGGUGGUGAAGUUCGAUGGCUCUGGUAACUUUGAAUUAUGGCAAAUAAGGGUCAAGGAUUUGUUGACGCAAUAGGGGAACUUGACGGGCCUGAAGGAGAAGCCAAAGAACAUGGAGAAGGUUGACUGGGAGGAGAAGCAGACAAAGCAGACGCUAGCGGCCGCAACCAUUCGGUUAUGUCUAUCAGAUCAGGUCAUGCACCAUGUCAUAGGACUAAGACACCGAAGCAAAUAUGGGACAAGCUGAAAACUCAAUUCAUGUCGAAAACUGUGACGACCAAGUUGUAUCUGAAGCAGAAGUUGUAUGGGCUGAAGAUGCUGGAGGGGUCGGAUCUUGCAGGGCACGUCAAUGUUUUCAGUCUGAUGGUCACAGACCUAGAGCAACUGGGUGUGACGGUUAAUAAUGAAGACAAGUCAAGUAUUCUUCUGUGUUCACUUCGAUCAUCUUAUGAGCACGUGAUCACGACGGCAAGGAAAGCAUCAAAGUUGAGGAUAUUACUGCAACGUUAUUGGCUCGGGAAUAAAGGAGAAAGAACAAUGCAGUGGAUGGACCUCUGGGUGAUGCGUUGCUAGUCAAAGGUGAGCAUAGCAAGGAGAAGGUGAAUAGGUGAAGGAAAAGAUGAAAAAGAAAGUGUGGUGCUUUGAUUGCGGUGAGUUAGGACAUGUGAGGAGGGAUUGUCCGGAAAAGAACAAGAAGGCAAGUGCUAAUGUUGCUAUUUCUAAGAGUGACUCGGACAAGAUGGUGAUGUUCUCUCGGUAUCAGACAGCGUGUAAUCAACUGAAGCGUGGGUGUUAGAUUCAGUUAGCUCUUUUCAUGCAACGAACAAUGCACGAACAAGGAGUGGUUCACUUUGUACAAGUCUGGUGAUUUUGGCUUAGCCUAUUUGGAUGAUAGCACGGGUUACUGUGCUAUUAGAGUAGGCGACAUCAAGAUCAAGACGCAAGAUGGAGGUGGGCAGGUGCUUCGGGGUGUUAGGCAUGUGUCGGGGCUGCGUAGGAAUCUAAUUUCGCUUGGAGUUCUACAUGGUGAUCGUAUGUAUUCUGGGCUGAGUCGGAUGGGAAGAUCAUGAAGGGAGACGAGGCUGUGAUGAUAGGAGAGAGGACGGCAUCGCAUCUGUACAAGCUGCAAGGGUGCACAGUUGCAGGUGGAGUCAUGGAAGAUGGAGUUGUAUGGAUAGUGGUGUCUUUUGAAGGCGGCGGGUCUGAGACCAGGUCAGACUCGUCGGGUGGAUCACCUUGAGCUACAAAGUCAGCAACCUAAGUCCGGUGUACACGGAGGUUCGCGCAUGAUGGCUUCAAGAUGGUGAAUAUUCACCAAGGUGGAUAUUGUUAGAGUUGUGUCGAAUAUUGUGUACUAGUUGGUUAUGUUUGGACUUGAAGUUAUAUUAACGGUAGGAUGUAGAGUAUGUGUCGGACUCUUGUAACCCUGACUCCUCAUAAAUAUGAGAGGAGGACUGCUGUUGUAACCAUCACAACAUAGCGACAGGCUCGAGGGGGGGAGGCGGCAUAUUGUCGGGACCCCAGAGCGACCGAUGUUGCAGUUUGGGGAGGAGCACCCUUAGUCGUGCCCGAGGAUGUAGGCUUCGGCUAAACCUCGUCAACAAAUAUCGUGCCUCCGAUGUCGUCUAUGAUCUCGCAUACAUUAUCUUGGUAGAUCAAUCAUUGCUUCUGCGCGCUAUUAUUCUAACGUACCAGGGCCGAAGGUCGGGAAACCUGGAACAUCUCCGGGGGUCACAUGGUAACGGGGGAGCCUGUGAACGUCUCCAAAGGGUCACAUGGGAUUGUUGUAACCAGAGAGUUGGACUCUAGGUCUUGGAUAAUGUCUUCUAGGAGAUCACAUGAGUUGCUUGUGAUGGAAGAGUUGGGCCCGAUAUGUGACGGGGAAAUUGUUAGGUUUAGUCCCACAUCAAAAAUUGAUGGUGGGGGAGCACAACAUAUAGGUGGAAGCAGCCCUCACUCAUUAGGUUAGUCUUUUGGGUUGAGUUAGGCCCAAAAUCUUGAUGUUGUGGGCUCCAAUGGGCGCCAGCUCGUGGGUACAGCGGGUCGGGUCGGAAUCGCUGCGCACUCUAACAGUUUCUCAUUGGAACUAUCUUUUCCUUGCAUCAAUCUCAUUGGAACUAUCUUUUCCUUGCAUCAAUCUGUAUAGCAUGAACAAUGCUUUCUAUUGCUGAGGCAAUGGGGGAAAACGGAAGAACCCUUUCUGGAAAAGAUUCAGAUUCUGGCCUAAAAUGGUAGCCAUCAUCAUGUUCAUUUACUGCCGAGAAGCUACUUCGAAUCGCCGAAGGAUUCAUGCCCGUAUGUUGCUGAUUCACAACGUUAGUAUUGCGCACUUUUAUCCCCCUAUUGAUUUGCCCUACUCAACUGGAACAAAAUAAGCAAGUAAGAUACAGAAAUCAAAUAAAUGUGCCUAUUGUUUCAUUCUCGUUAAUCUGACCGUAAAUGUCACAAUCAAUAACCAAGCCAGUCUGGCAUUACCGGUGUAAAACAAACAAAUAGCGGUACAUCCUGCUGCAAUUUAGAAGCUUCAAAAAAAUAAGAAUAGUUGAACCCAGGAAGGAGGAAGUAAAAUCAGCUCCGCCAGCCAAUACAACAAUCUUCUACUCUAAGGUGAGGUCCCUAGAAUACAAUGCCACAAGCAGAACUACAUGUGUAUGUACAGUAUGAACAAUUGGUUGAACGGUGAAAAAUGCGCUAACAAUAGGUUAGCCCACAACAACAAAGUCCUGUCUUCCCCCCAGCCUGAAACCAAUGCGUGUUUGUGGAAAGACCAACAGAGAGCAGGGUUUGUUCGCAACAGAAGCAGCAAUCUUGCCUUACCAGCUAUUCAGCUAUCCCUCAGUCAGUCAUCAUGCUCUGCUGAGAAAUCUGGCUCCGAUGGUUUCCUGAACUUAGGCAAUUCUUUGAUGAUGCUUACUCCUCUCCUAAGCGUGAAAUUCUGUUCGGGGGAGCCAUGGCCUUCGUAUGACCUCAUGGAGGAGAAUGAUUCCCUCAUUCUCAGGUCCUUGGCCAUCUUCCUCCUCUUGUGGCGGCGCCAAGCAUGCUGGAUAAAGCACGCGGCCCAUGUCUUCCAAUGGUGAGAGUAGUACCGGAAAGUGUGUUGCAGCUUCCUGCUGUGGAGGCGCCUGAAUUGGCUGGCGACAAACCUGAGGUCCUCAGCUCGGAGAGCAAAUGCCUCAACUUCGAGGAUUGCCUUCACCGUCCGAGUGGAUGAUGGCAGGUUGACAGUAGGCUUGGGAACUAGAGCCCAUUCGAGGAGCUCUUCGCCGCAGAAUUCACCAGGUUUGAGGGUGAUUGAAUUGAAGAAACCCGUCCGACCACCAUCUGUAGUGGAACUUUCCAGCUUACCACGAAUGAUAAAGAGCAUCUCAGUCACCAGGUCACCUUCACGGACAAUAUAUGUACCCUCUGUGCUCAAGGAAGAUACAAGACGCUCACAGAUGGCAUCUAGAAGUUGAUCGUCCAUCUGGGAGAAAAGUGGGACCUGCAGCAUUGCAAUAUAAUAAUAAAAUACUCAGUCAUCAGGUUAUCCGCAACCCCAUGAAGUUUUCCAUUAGUGUUACAUGUGUGACAUUCAGACAUUCAUCACCUCAUAAGAAAUAAGCAUUCAACUAACACUAUCAACUGUGUUGCUGACCAAAAAAAAUGAGAGUGCAGAGAUAGUAAAUUUACCCGACGAACAAGAUCCAGGCACAGGUGGCGCUUAAUGUCACGGCGAAGAUCUGCAGGCAGAGCAAUCAAUAUAGAUUCUUCAUCCACACCUCGAGUUGCCAGCCACUUGUAAUGAAUAAAUCUUCUCACUCUUUCCCGCAAUUCAUGGGGUAGUUGCCGAUGUCUCAUCCACUCCUCAGUAUCUUUCUGCUUUAUUCUCCAUUCCUCAACCCUUGCAGUGAUUGAUUGCAGGUAGGUCUAGCAGACAAUAUAAUUUGAUAAGCAGUGUUCCUUGUCAACGAACUGCUGGAAUUACCCAGCAAAAACAAAAUCUAACUAAUGCAUCGACAUGAUGGGAUUGGGGAGCUUGUUCGGUAAGGUUAACUGGUUCAGAUUUCAACGUACUGACUUAAGAAGAGUUAAAACGUUUUGCAGGUUUAAAAGCACUAUGUACUAUCACACAUUCGAACAGAUGCACAUACACUACCUAAGUGGGAUAUGAACUGGAAAGUAUGAACAAAUCAACAAAUCAAGACCAAAAUCUCAGGGUUCUUACUCCCCAUUGCAAGUAGCAUAGAUGAAAGUACCUGGACUUUUCCAAUCAAAUGCGCAAACAAGACAAGACCGACCAUCGCCAAGAAUAUAGCAUACAGUGUCUCCCCAAGAAAGGUACUCACAGUCAAUGUUUGGCCAUAGCAACUGUUAAAAAAUGGGGCACCAAAAUAGCAUGUUAGAAAUGUAAUAUGAUCAUCAUAUGUAUCUUUAGAUUAAUUGCUCUUGUUUAUCUUCGUGUGCUUUUGCCCCAUGCAUAGCCCAAACAUAGAUCUGCUUUUGUUGUCACUGAUUUUUUUUAACAGAGAACACUAAUAUAAUUACUAUUUGAACUUCCACAAGUAAUAAAUUAACAGCCAUGCAUAUUUUCUUUGAGACACAAUUAACAGUCAUAAGAGAGCACGUGUUCAACUAAAGUCAUACCUUAGAUUCUGCAAGCCCCACCAAAGGCAAUAGACAUAUUUCUUCAGGAAGCUCUGAUUAGGAGUUUCGUUGUAUAACAGUGGCUGGAACAUACCAAAGUCAAAAUCGGGUUUGCUACUAGCAUUACAUCUAGAAAAGACUAAGGUUCCGUUCCAACUAGGAUCUGGUAUUACACCACAAUACAGAUACCGAAUUUCAGUCUCAUUGCAAUAUUUUUUCCAACAUGCGAACUGGCGAUCAACGGAUAGAAGGUACCAUAGUGCUCCUAAAACCUGAAAGAAAAGACUGCAUCAUUAGAAGUACCACUAGACGAUAGCAAAGACAGAACAAAUUGGUAGCACAGUCUAAAAGUAAUACGGCAAAUUCCAAGAUAUGAAAUGGUAAAACAUUUCAAGUAUUACUCAUAUAAAGAUCAUACAUGGCUAGCAAUCAUGUAUAACAGCAGAUUGUAUGCAGCUCCUUGCCAGGCAGUCUUUGCAAAAACUCCAGUAAUUUUGACUAUUUUAUUAUUCAAGGAAAUCAUGAGGUAUAAUCGUAGGAUAUACUGGAAAAGAGCAACCAGAAGCAGCAUGUCAUUGCCAUGCUCAGACGACGAAUAUUUGAUAGCUGGUAUCACAGACCAAAUAAUGAUCUGCAAGAAAAGAAAAAUUAUCAGAUACUAAGAUUAUGGCCAAAACUCAGAACAUCGGAUAUCAGAUGGUUUCAACAUCACAACCUCUCAUCUAUAGCAUAUAAUCUUUAAGGGUAAGAAAUUGAGAAGCCAUGUUUCUUGUUUUUUUUAAUAACUUUUUUCCACAAGAGACCAGGUGUACCAUCCUACCAGGGGGGUAUGGUGAAUGAAAUAGUAGGUGAAAUUUUAAAAAGAAAACUCGUCUUGGUAAUUCAGCAGCAGCCAUUUGAAUGAAAACAACAAUAGGUCAAGAACAAAGUAUAGACACAACUCAACAGGUUGCAGCAUUCAGUUUCGAAAAUGAGAUGAAUUACCUGUGGUAAAGGCAAUGAAGCCACUAAAUCAACUGCAAAGUCAGAUCUUAAAUACUGCUUUGCAAUUUCCUUAUGAUCUGUGAUGAGAUCUCCUCGACCAAAAACCCCUAAUUUUGAGUUUGGAUUAAUAUAAGCGGUCCUGAACUUUAUUAUUAUCUGGAUGGCAUAAAAGAGAUCAACAAUUGAUCGGAAGACAGUAACGAUGAUGGCUAUGCGUCUAUCCUUCCCAGCACAAGGAAUGGUUGGUGUGCCAGCAGGAGUUGGCCUGUAAUCGAUUAUAGGCACAUAGAAAUACAGAGGAUCCAUGAACAGAGCAAUGAAGCAUGACACACGGAAGAUGUAGGUCCAUGUCAAGAUGAAGUCGCUUGAUGGGUCAAUAAUCUUGUUGUACCACAAGUCAUCUCCUGCCACAAAAAUCUUGUUUUUCCCUGAACUUCCCAAGCCAAGCCUGCUAGCAGCCAGCCCAUGCUGUUUCUGGUGAAUGGGUAUAGUUGCCUUUGCCCUCUCAUCAUGGAAUCUGGGAAUGAAAAUAGCAUUAGGAUUGCCCUAAAAGGUAACACUAAAAAUGGCAUGUUGGACGCUUCAGUGAUUAUUUGUUCAUAUCACUAUAUCAGUCAUCAGUUCAUCACCAUCAGCAUACCCUGAAAUGGUAUGUCUUGCUAUCCGUCCAUCAAUAUAGCUACUCCCCUGGCUAAUUCUACUCACCAGAAACUAGACUAUUACAAUCAGAUAAGAAAUUCACGAAACUCGCUACACAAAUAGUCUUAGAAUCACUAAAUUUGGCUAACUUCUUAAGUCAAGUAGAUUAUCCAUUCAAGAAACUAAAAUCAAACGCCCAAUUCCAGGUUCCUCACGGGAACUAACCACGAGCUCACGAACUACAAACAAGGCCAAGAGCAUGUCACCAACCAACUUGCCAACCGAAACAAAGUGCUCUUCCUGCCCAAUCUCCUCAGAAACCAAGAAAAUUCGCAGCAAAACUGCGCCUUUUCCCAUACUUUCGAUCACCUCAAGCCACCAACCACCCCCCAAGUCCCCAAAAUAUCUCCAACCCCACGAGCACAGACCUCAAACAGCAAACCAACACGGUAACACCGAGUUCUUUCUUCUUUUAGCGCUCACCUGACGGUCCGCUGCCUCGUGAGCGCCAUCUCGUCCUCCACCCUCCUCGAACCGAACAUCAUGGAGUCAGCCCGCUACUCCGCCGCUACACUGACAGGCAGCUCGCCCAAGAAACCGCCUUCCUCGCUCAUCCGGCGCCGGAGCAGCCGGAGGCCGGUCCUCCGCCGGGGUGGACACCGGGAAGGGGGUGCUCGGACGCUGGGAAUCGCAGCCGCCCGCGCGGAGUUCGAGGAAGGGAGGGGAGGGAAGCUACAGGGAAUGGAAGUUGGAAAGCGAGAACUGCCGGGGAGAAGACAGGAGACCGUGCGCUGGGUUGGACUUGACCUGUUGGAGAUGAAACUGAAGAAGUCCAUCCAAUCCAAUGGUUGUUAGGGGUGAAUAUGGAAAUUUUACAGUUGACCUCGUCGCCAAGCUGCUGUAAAAAAAUCAUUAAAUCAGAUUCCGAUGCGAAGCACAAGCUCCUGAAAUUGAAUGUUUAGAUACUAAUUAGGAGUAUUAAACAUAAACUAAUUACAAAAUCAAUUGUACAGAUGGAGGCUAAUUUGCGAGACGAAUCUAUUAAACCUAAUUAGUCCAUGAUUUGACAAUGUGAUGCUACAGUAAACAUGUGCUAAUGAUGGAUUAAUUAGGUUUAAUAGAUUCAUCUCGGGAAUUAGCCUCCGUAAUUAGUUUUAUAAUUAGCUCAUGUUUAGUCCUCCUAAUUAGUCUCCGAAUAUUCGAUAUGACAUGAAUUUUAAUCCGAACUAAAUAUGUGAACACCCCUUAGUGUGCAGGCACGGCAACGGAGAUUACAAAAGUACAGUUCGGUUUGGGGGGCAGGGGCCGAGACCCCCCGAGCCAUGCAAAUUUAUACUAUAUAAUAUCCAAAUUUUGACUAAAUUUAGAAAAUCUCAACAGUAUUGGCCCCUCUAAGAAUGAAGAUUUUGAGUUCCUGGCUUCAUCCCUAAUUAAUUGUAAUCUUAAAGCUUACUAAAAGAGUAUCGUAAUGACCUGAGUAUUCGAUCGAACUUUAAAAUUGGUAAAGCUAGUUGUGCUUUAAAACGGCACGCUUUUGUGAGGGGAAGGUAUUUUACGAGCAUGAUCAUGAAUGCUAUAUUCAUCUUAAAAUUCUUUACAAUUUCGGGAUCAAAAAAUAGGCUAAAAAAACCAAAGUCACUUAGAACUUGACACCGUAUAGAAGUUGUACUGUUGUCAUAGGCCGUGUUUGUUUCGGCGGUGGCAAGUAGCGCAUAUAGCAGCCGCGCGGCGCUGUAUCGCCACAAUUUUUCUGCGGCUGCGUUUCCGCGGUAUGCGGUUCAAAUCCCAUCAUGAGGCUGAAGCGCCACGCAGAAGCAGAACGCGGUUUGACACGAUUCUACACGGUGGGCUGCCGCACCGUGAGAAUAAGCGGUUCCAAACGGGACCACAGUGCCCCCUUCACGAUCCAUGAUGACACCUCUCCCUUUCUUUAUCGCUCUUGCGUUGAAUAUAUUGUGAUAAAGGCUUUAUUGUAAGCGAUAUUUUAAUUAAGCUGUCUUUAGAACACCUAUUUAUAUUCCGUUUGUUUCUUUUCUCUCCCACGCGUUUCGUUUGCUAAGUUGUUUACUUUUUUUUUGCGGAAUUUUUUUCUGCGGAAAGUUGUUUACUUGUUUAUACGCUUUGUCGUGGCACUUCAAUACUCCUGUGAGCACGUAACUAUAAAAAAAAGCGUUUCACGUGCACCUGUUCGUUUGAGUGGUUCUGUACUGUGGGGGCUAUUGCCAAGACUCUCCAUCAACUGACAACUGUCUUGUGUCAAUUGGCUCGCAGCCUCACACAGCAUGGUACAGGGGGAAAAACACUCGUCGUCUACAUGCAUAAAGAAAAGAAUGUCACCAUCUACGUUGUAAUACUGGCCCAGAUCGGCGAUGCAACGACCAACAAAGCCGAGCCAGCGCCGUAGCACGUCGGGUACUCGAUGUGACGUGAUGUGCUGGCGCGGUCGCCUGGCCUCGUCUGCUUGCUGCAGCCUGCAGCUAGCCGCCCACCGGCGCAUCACCUAACCCACCAGUAGACUUGGGCUUGGAUUGGCACAACGGUAUGCAAACAUGCUGAUGCUGGACGACAUUAGAAGAACCAUCGUUGAACAAAAAUCAACAGCACAACAAACCGGGUCAGAAACAUGGAGUUAGGAGUAGAUAUCUAACCAUCAACCUGAUGGUUACCAUCAUGCAUCUACCAUUGUAUAUCCAAUAGCAUCUGGCAUUCUACCAUCUUCAGUCCCACAUUUAACCUAUCAAACAGGACUACAAGCUAAAGAGAACAUAUCAUCUGCUAAAUAACCACAAAAUGGCAGCAAAUGACGGGUCGAGGAUUCAGCCUCAUCGCAGGCUCUAUGAAGAACAUCAAUCAGGAAGGAUUGGCUUCAUCGCAGGCUCUAUGAAGAACAUCAAUCAGGAAGGCACUCAGAAGGCAUCUACGAAGAAUAUCAAUCAGGACCAUGCGGUGGAGGCGGCAAAAGGCGAGGAAGCUCCUUUGCUGAAGGCAUCGGUCCUCCUCUGUUGAAGGCAACAUGUGGGGGGGGGGGGGGGGGGGGGGGGGGGGGGGGGGGGGCGAGCAGCGGAUGCGGAGCAAGGCCAAAGGUCGACUCGAGUCAACGUAGCAGCCUGGUCAAUUCACUUUUGGGCGCUCACUUACCUGGGUCUUCUGAAGGCAUCAUACACCACACGGGUGAGUCAGCCAUCUAAAUACUGCAGCUCCUGAAGCAGGUGCAGUCCAUGGAGACCCAGCCCGCGGAGAAACUUACCAGAUGCUGCAUUUGUCAGCACAAUCAAACCUUACCAAAUGGUAUGAGAAGGAAGAUCAUUACUGCUUUGAGACGCGCAGCAUCUUCAACGAAGCAAAUGGACCGCGAAGAGGCGCUGUAGGCAGACUAACAUGCAGCGUUCACAUUUGACCGAAUGAAGGGUGCGAGGGCGUGCGAAGAAUGAAGAGCGCAGAACAAAACCAUGAAGACAUAACUGAAAGCCGUAGUCGGCCGAGUCGUUUAAGCGGUGCAGGACGAUGCCUUUAUACCACACAAGAAAAGACAGGUGGUCUUAGUUCAAUAAAUACACCCACCAGUAUGUUUUACUACUGAUUAUAAAGUAGACACAAUCAUAAUAAGAUAGAUAAAAGUUAUGAGAACCUUAACCAAAAGUCAAGCAGCCCACGAAGCAUCUUUCCGGUAGGUUACUGAUCAUAACUGGCAGGCCAAAGAGCAACAUCUGUCACAGAACACUCAUC